AUUGAACGCUGGCGGCAGGCCUAACACAUGCAAGUCGAACGAGUGGCGGACGGGUGAGUAAUGUCUGGGAAACUGCCUGAUGGAGGGGGAUAACUACUGGAAACGGUAGCUAAUACCGCAUACCAUCUGAUGUGCCCAGAUGGGAUUAGCUAGUAGGUGGGGUAAAUGCUGAACUAGGCGACGCUCCCUAGCUGGUCUGAGAGGAUGACCAGCGACACUGGAACUGAGGGACGGUCCAGACUCCUACGGGAGGAAGCAGUGGGGAAUAGUGCACAAUGGGCGCAAGCCUGAUGCAGCAAUGCCGCGUGUAUGAAAAAGGCCUUCGGGAUUUAAAGUACUUUCAGCGGGGAGGCGUUACCCGCAGAAGAAGCACCUGCUAACUCCGUGCCAGCAGCCGCGGUAAUAC
This 406-nucleotide ribosomal RNA is filed under the name uncultured bacterium. RNAcentral's name for it is "partial 16S ribosomal RNA". It matches the Rfam family "Bacterial small subunit ribosomal RNA", at positions 30 to 526 of the family's 1533-position model. The record is from RNAcentral.